Molecule: unclassified non-coding RNA, 337 nt
Filed under: soil metagenome
Description: partial contains 5.8S ribosomal RNA, internal transcribed spacer 2, and large subunit ribosomal RNA
Rfam family: 5.8S ribosomal RNA (bases 1-120)
Source: RNAcentral
GAUGAAGAACGUAGUGAAAUGCGAUAAGUAGUGUGAAUUGCAGAAUUCCGUGAAUCAUCGAAUCUUUGAACGCACAUUGCGCCCCUUGGUAUUCCAUGGGGCAUGCCUGUUCGAGCGUCAUUUGUACCUUCAAGCUCUGCUUGGUGUUGGGUGUUUGUCUCGCCUCUGCGUGUAGACUCGCCUCAAAACAAUUGGCAGCCGGCGUAUUGAUUUCGGAGCGCAGUACAUCUCGCGCUUUGCACUCAUAACGACGACGUCCAAAAGUACAUUUUUACACUCUUGACCUCGGAUCAGGUAGGGAUACCCGCUGAACUUAAGCAUAUCAAUAAGCGGAGGA